CAGUAGCCACGGGAACACGAAGGGUGCAAGCGUUAAUCGGAAUUACUGGGCGUAAAGCGUGCGUAGGCGGUUUGUUAAGUCUGCUGUGAAAUCCCCGGGCUCAACCUGGGAAUGGCAGUGGAUACUGGCAAGCUAGAGUGUGUCAGAGGAUGGUGGAAUUCCCGGUGUAGCGGUGAAAUGCGUAGAGAUCGGGAGGAACAUCAGUGGCGAAGGCGGCCAUCUGGGACAACACUGACGCUGAGGCACGAAAGCGUGGGGAGCAAACAGGAUUAGAUACCCGGGUAGUCCCUGUCUCUUAUAA
RNAcentral lists this ribosomal RNA (301 nucleotides) under uncultured bacterium. RNAcentral describes it as "partial 16S ribosomal RNA". It matches the Rfam family "Bacterial small subunit ribosomal RNA", at positions 509 to 809 of the family's 1533-position model. The record is from RNAcentral.